RNAcentral lists this ribosomal RNA (253 nucleotides) under uncultured bacterium. Its description in RNAcentral is "partial 16S ribosomal RNA". It matches the Rfam family "Bacterial small subunit ribosomal RNA", at positions 524 to 776 of the family's 1533-position model. The record is from RNAcentral.
UACGUAGGGGGCAAGCGUGGUCCGGAUUUAUUGGGCGUAAAGAGCGUGUAGGCGGCCGUACAGGUCAGCUGUGAAAACUCGAGGCUCAACCUCGAGACGUCGGUUGAAACCGUACGGCUAGAGUCCGGAAGAGGAGAGUGGAAUUCCCGGUGUAGCGGUGAAAUGCGCAGAUAUCGGGAAGAACACCCGUGGCGAAGGCGGCUCUCUGGGACGGUACUGACGCUGAGACGCGAAAGCGUGGGGAGCGAACAGG